Molecule: long non-coding RNA, 1863 nt
Filed under: Bemisia tabaci
Lineage: Eukaryota; Metazoa; Arthropoda; Insecta; Hemiptera; Aleyrodidae
Description: lncRNA ENSSWEETPG010047
Source: RNAcentral
GUAUGGAAUGAAGUUCAUUUAUUAUUAUUUAUUUAUGUACAGUAUUUUUGUACCUACCUUAAAUUUUGCAUAGUCUUAAGUCUUCGGAGUGUUACUUUUAUUCCAAGUCGGCUGGAUCUUGACACCUCCCUGCAAGAACACUUCAUUGGUCGUUAUUAAUAGUGUACAAAUUUUUUGAAAAUUGAAACCCGUGAUCCAGCCAAAAGCUGUGUUGGCAGUUUUUAUCAAGCGUUAUGAUUAAACUUGUGUACAGUAAUAACGUUUUCUUUUUUCACUACCGCCCUCUGUUCAUUCUGUUCUCUCCUAAUCUUAGUAUUUUAUUAUCAAUUAAACACUGUGUGAACUUGUGCGGCACUUAAAUGGGAAGUUUUUCCCGUUUUUCUCCACAGCUGUGAUGUUUCUUUUUUUUCAUAAUUCUAGGGCAAGUGAAUUAAUUGCAAGUGUUAUUUAGUCCCAGGCUCAAAUUUUUUCUGAAGUAGUUGGCAGCUAACAAAGCCAGUGCAGCCUCAGCCUCCAAAUUUUACUGGUAGCAUGAGUAACUUUUAAAAUUCAAGCUCUUCGCUAAUCGAAUAGCCACUUUUAUUGGGGAAGUAAAACCCACUCUUAAACCCUAAAUGCUCUCACUUCUACCAAUUUCUGGUAACAUACCUGUCCUCGUCCUUUUGUCGUCAUCCAGUUAGUGAUUUUCAUUGUUUCAUUUGAGGUAAUCAAAAACAAUCAAAUUCGGGUUUUUUAGGAGCCAAUUAUUAUCUACCCUCAAUUUCAAUUGAUUCGCUUGCCCGUUUUAUUAUUUCAAGAUGCCUAUGAGAAAACUGUGAGGGUGAAAAUGCUGUUUUUUUUUUUUAAGAAAUGCUUGUAUGUAGCACACACCCAAAUAUUACUGCGCCAGAUUUCAAAACUAUGUCUUAUUCCUUGAGAAGAAUGAAUGCUCCUUUGAGAGGAAAACUCCACCUCUAUAACAAGAACUUCUUCCUUUAUAAAGAAGUCAAGCAUUUCCUUCAGUUGCAGCUUGGAAUUCAAAUCAAAGGAGGACAUUCAAUCGCCAAAAGGUACGCAAUUUAUUCAAUUUUUAUUGAUUCUCAUAGAUCGAUUCUUUUUUUUUACAAAUAAAUAUUAACGCAACUUUUUACAAUAAAAAAAAAACUGGCACAAAGCAAAUCAUCCCUCCUCCAGAAUGUGGGCCGGUGCGAUUUUUUUUCCCUACAAUUUAUUCUGUAAUCUUGGCAGAAAAGAAAUUACCGCUGGAAUUUCAUUUUGAUGCAAUUUAAUUUUAACAGAUGAUGAGUACUUCAUAUUAAGUGAAGGAUAUAAUGAUCCAUCUAGGCAAAGUACUCCGUCCAGAGACCAAGAAAGCGGUUGUCAGUAAAAAAUAUAAAAGAGUGCCUAUUCUCUCAUACCGAGUGUUCAUGUUGAAGCAAAUCAUUUCAAUAGCUUACAAACUCUUAGAAACUUUUUCAUGGCUUAAUUUCAAAAAAGGAACAAAAUGAACACUAAUUGAACCAAUGUUUCUAGAAGGGCUUAAUAGAGUGACAGAGGGUCAGCGAUUUGGAGACCAUUUAUCAAAAGAGGACAUUAUUGUGCCGUGGUGAAAAUGAGCUUGUUGACUUCUGAAAGAGAGAUAAAAUUAAGCAAGAACUAGAUAUUGUUCAGCUAUUACAACUGCAAAUCUCAACUGGACUGCACUGGGAGAGAAUGAACAUUUUCAAAACCGGGAGGUUUUUGUUAUAAUUCAAGUUUUACCACAAACUAAUGGGAUAAAAAGCCUACAAACAAUCUCCUUCAGUCAAACUUCAAUUUAAAUAUGUAGUGUUAAAUGUUCACGAGAAAUACAUUCUUGAAAGAAUUGAUUAAGAAUUGAGAGCA